UAGGAGGAUGUUGAUCUCUAUGCUAGAGAUCAUGAGAAGAAUCCUUUCUCCUCUUUUCUUUCUUAAACCCAUGCCCCAAAUCUCUAUGCUAGAGAUGUAAAAAUUUUGUCCAACUCUUGGACAAAGAAAAGAGAAAAAAUCUAUGUCCAAACAUGGAUAAAAUAUGGGAGAGAAGAUGUCCUAACAACCAACCAUUGGUUGUUUGUAAUAAAGAAAAGAUAAGUGCAACCUUACCUCACGCCAUGGAGCAAUUCACCGUGCCCUUCUCCCUUGUUUUUCCCCACACAC
Molecule: long non-coding RNA, 288 nt
Filed under: Elaeis guineensis (African oil palm)
Lineage: Eukaryota; Viridiplantae; Streptophyta; Magnoliopsida; Arecales; Arecaceae
Description: long non-coding RNA (EGUI_LNC044022)
Source: RNAcentral